ACGAACGCUGGCGGCGUGCUUAACACAUGCAAGUCGAACGGUGAAGCGCCUUCCUUUUUGGUGGGUGUGGAUGAGUGGCGAACGGGUGAGUAACACGUGAGUAACCUGCCCCCUUCUUCUGGAUAACCGCAUGAAAGUGUGGCUAAUACGGGAUAUUCUGGGUCUGUCGCAUGAUGGGUCUGGGAAAGAUAUUGUUUCGGUGGGGGAUGGGCUCGCGGCCUAUCAGCUUGUUGGUGGGGUGAUGGCCUACCAAGGCGGUGACGGGUAGCCGGCCUGAGAGGGUGGACGGUCACACUGGGACUGAGACACGGCCCAGACUCCUACGGGAGGCAGCAGGGGGGAAUAUUGCACAAUGGGCGCAAGCCUGAUGCAGCGACGCCGCGUGAGGGAUGGAGGCCUUCGGGUUGUGAACCUCUUUCGCCAGUGAAGCAGGCCUGCCUCGUUUGUGGGUGGGUUGACGGUAGCUGGAUAAGAGGCGCCGGCUAACUACGUG
Molecule: ribosomal RNA, 493 nt
Filed under: uncultured bacterium
Lineage: Bacteria
Description: partial 16S ribosomal RNA
Rfam family: Bacterial small subunit ribosomal RNA
Source: RNAcentral